This 457-nucleotide ribosomal RNA is filed under the name uncultured bacterium. RNAcentral describes it as "bacterial SSU rRNA". It matches the Rfam family "Bacterial small subunit ribosomal RNA", at positions 340 to 786 of the family's 1533-position model. The record is from RNAcentral.
UACGGAAGGCAGCAGUGGGGAAUAUUGCACAAUGGGCGCAAGCCUGAUGCAGCCAUGCCGCGUGUAUGAAGAAGGCCUUCGGGUUGUAAAGUACUUUCAGUCGUGAGGAAGGUGUUAAGGUUAAUAACCUUAGCAAUUGACGUUAGCGACAGAAGAAGCACCGGCUAACUCCGUGCCAGCAGCCGCGGUAAUACGGAGGGUGCGAGCGUUAAUCGGAAUUACUGGGCGUAAAGGGCACGCAGGCGGUUAAUUAAGUUGGAUGUGAAAUCCCCGGGCUUAACCUGGGAAUGGCAUUCAAGACUGGUUAGCUAGAGUCUUGUAGAGGGGGUAGAAUUCCAUGUGUAGCGGUGAAAUGCGUAGAGAUGCGGAGGAAUACCGGUGGCGAAAGGCGGCCCCUGGACAAAGGACUGACGCUCAUGUGCGAAAAGCGUGGGGAGCAAAACAGGGAUUAGAUACC